This is an RNA transcript of Solanum tuberosum (potato), 8484 nucleotides long. It is a transcript of the gene named serine/threonine-protein kinase TOR-like, with no coding region annotated. The record is from RefSeq and is a predicted model, not a curated record. NCBI's taxonomy places the organism in Eukaryota, Viridiplantae, Streptophyta, Magnoliopsida, Solanales, Solanaceae. The transcript has 25 exons.
UUUCCCUUUUAACGUUAAAAGAGGGUUUCUUUCUCCAGAUGAAACUCGCUCACUCUCUCUCUUAUUCAAAAUUCAAAUUAAAUACAAAUGGGUUCUCUUGUAGAUUUUGAAUCACAGAUGUUCUUUGGAUCGUGUUCUGUGCGAGUGUGAAAAGCAUGGCUACCAGGCGAUCCGUUAUCCAGUUGCAACCACCGGUGCCGGAAAUAUCGAUGCGAAUUCUUGCUGACUCAUGUACCACAGGCAAUCCUAAGGGUUAGCACCAUUCAAUUAUUAGCUUUGUUUUAGAGGAAUCAAAACAAUGGCAGAAAAUGCUUCCACCGUCUUCAAUGUUCACGUGCCGGAGUUUGUGGAUGCUAUUUGGGUUGCUCUGAGGGAUCCAACGUUGGCUGUUCGGGAGAAGGCUGUUGAGACAUUGUGUGCCUGCGUUCGUGUUAUUGAAAAGUGUGAGACAAGAUGGUGUGUUCAGUGGUAUUAUUGAAUGGUUAAGCCUACCCAAGAUGGAUCGGGUUGAAACGCUCAUGUUCAUAGUAUACAUUGAUCUUUUCUCGCAGUUGGGGAGCUGCUAAGGAACACAGGGGAGUUCAUUAUGUCAAGAUACAGGGAGGUUGCUGAAAUUGUUCUAAGAUACCUGGAGCACCGAGAUCGCCUAGUUCGCCUCAGCAUAACUUCUUUACUUCCUCGAAUUACCCAUUUCCUGCGUGAUCGAUUUGUACUAACUAUUUAACGAAUGUGCCAGUGGGUUCCUUGCUCUUGGGGAGAUGGCAAGUUCUCUAGAUGGUGAACUCAUUAACUAUUUGGCGACAAUAACCUCUCACUUGGGUGAUGUGGGAAUCUUGAUGUUGUUCUUUAAUCAUUUGUUGAAUUGGUAAGGAAGUGGAGCCAGACGUGAUUUUCAUAUUGAUAGGAUUGAGGGAAAUUAAGGAUGUAAGACUGUUCAAGAUUUUAGAUAACUCCCAAGUCUUUCUUCUGUUUCAGCCUUUGAAGGAGGGGGGCUGCAUUGGUUUUGAGGCAGCUUGUAGAGGAAGAAGCUUGUGAUCUUAGUGGAGAAGGUUUUGCUCAUUUUAUGGAUCAUCUAUAUGAACGCAUUACCACAUUUCUUGAUAGUAAUGAAGUUUCUGAGAAUCUCGGUGCAUUGAGGGAUAUUGACGAGAUAAUAGAUGGCACCAUCAGCGAAAAUGCAUCAAAAGUGACACAAUUCUCCAAUUACAUUCGCGUUGCUUUUGAAACAAAGUGUGAUCCUGAAAUCUUGGUCCUUUGCUAGGUUCUUGGUCAAAAGUUCAGGGAGUUCCUCGUAUUCUCUUUUGAUAUUUGCACUGUGAGAACACAAUCUCAUUUUCUGUUGGGGGUGCCUCCCUUGUAGUCAUUUAGUUGAUUGUUUCUGCAUAUAGUGAUUGUGCCCUUGUCGGACGUACCUUUCUUUCUUUGUUAUGGAUUGGUGUGCCCUUGUCAGGAUUUGAUAUUGUGAAUGUUUAUGUUGAUAUUGUGUUGGAUUGGUCUAUUUUAGUUUUGAUACCUAGUUUGUAGCUUCUUUGUUUUUGUUUUGAUAAAAAGAUUUGGAUUGACGAUGCCCGAUGAUGGAUAGAGCGUGACGACUUUCUUAAGGGUAAAUCGUCGAUUGCUUGUGAGUAUUUGAUUGACGUUGAUUUGAGUAGUUCACGAAUAGAUGCAUGAGGUUGUCUUUUUGUAACUUUUGAUUCGUUAGCAGUUAAAAUGUUCAAUGCUACUUGUAUUUUCAAAAGGAAGUAAGAUUUUGAACCGUCUUGAUUGAUUUGCAGGCCAUGUGUGGUGAGUUAUUGCAUAAUGCCUUGUGUUUGCUUUUGUCACCUAGAACUUGUCCGGUUGGUCUUGAAAUAUUGGUCUUGAAUGAAUUUGGUUGGAGAAAUGAUCUUAGGCUUUCUUUAAUAUCUUGGAGUCCACUUGGCCUAAAAAUCUCACCUUUGUACUAAAUAUAUCCUUAGUUGUCCCCUUUCAGCCUAAUCCUUUUUAUCGGCAACCAUAUUACAAGCCUUAUCCUUUUUGAAAAGGUAACCCUCCUUUGAACCCUUCCCUCCUUGAACUUGAGGUUGUGAAAGUUGAGUCUAAAAGCCUAAGUUGUGGGCGUUAUGGAAAAUUCGUUGAAGGGAUGCUUACCAAAUGAGGGCAUGGUGUAAAAAAAAAAAUAUAAAGAAGAGAGAAAUUGAGGGAUGGAUGGAAAGUUUUAAAGAAAGAAAAAGUUUUGAAAAAGAAAGAAUGAAAAUGAAUAAAUGAGUCUUGAAUCCUCCAAAAUUUGAAAAUGGUUGCAUGUGGAGCAUCUAAAGUGGAAAUAAGAAAAGAAAAAAUGAAAAAUAGUAUGGAAUGUGCAUGGGUUUUAAAAGUGAAGAAAAGUGGAAAAAGUUGGAAAUGAUGAGUCGUUGUGUAGUGUUCAAGGAGGGUGUAGUCACUUAUACUUAAAUGAUAUCCUAACCUUCCCUGAGCCUAUAUUACAAGCUUAACAAAGUCCUUGGAGAUUUCUAACCAAAUGGAGUGGAGUCAAUAUUGAUAGAAAAUAGGUGACAUUUGUGUGCAUGAGAUGAUUUUUAGUGAGUGCGAGUGUUGCAUCUUUGUCCUCGUAUUGUUUGUAUGUGUGGUUUCGGGAUACUUCUUUCUUGUGAGGGCAUGCAAGUUGAAAUAUUAAUGAUUUUUCUUAAUUGAGUCAAGUGAGCUAAUGAGUUGAGUCAUUUCUUGAGUUUGAGUUGUUGUCACUUAAAUGAUUCUUGAUUUUUUAUAAUGUUUCAUGUGAAUGAGAGGAUUUCUUUUGUGGAAAGUUUUCAUGUGGACUAUUUGUUGGUACCAACCGAGGCCAUUACCUUUGUGCUUAAUUGAGAAAUGGAAAUUGAUUUGUGGUGUAUCUUGAAAUAAGAAUCUCUUAUGUUUUUUGAUUUUCUUGACUUGAUGAAAAACAAACUUUCUAAGUUGGGGUGUUGAUUUGUGGUAGAUUUCUACUCAUUUGAGUCUUUUUUUCGUAGUUAUUUUGGCUUUUAGUUUAUAAUUGUUGCUUUUUGAUGUGGUUUUGCACGAAAAUUAAAUGGAGAGUUCGUACAAAAUGUUGAACGUGCAGGGUUAGCACCAUUCGAUUGUUGGCUUUGUUUUAGAGGAACCAAAACAAUGGAAGAAAAUGCUUCUACCGUCUUCAAUGUUUCACGUGCCGGAGUUUGUGGAUGCUAUUUGGGUUGCUCUGUGGGAUCCAAUGUUGGCUGUUCGGGAGAAGGUUGUUUAGACAUUGCGUGCCUGCCUUCUUGUUAUUGAAAAGUGUGAGACACGACGGCGUGUUCAGUGGUAUUAUCGAAUGUUUGAGGCUACCCAAGAUGGAUGGCGGAGAAUCGCUCCUGUUCAUAGUAUAAUUGGAUCUCUUCUCGCAGUCGGGGAGCCGCUAAGGAAGUAAAAAGGAGAUUGAAAUAGAAAGAACGCAGAAUGCUGCACUUUACUUUUGGGCACAUCUAUUUUUAUUUGGUUUUGUGUGGAAGAAGAUCAGCAGAUAUACUCCUAAGUCUUUCUUCAGUUUCAGCCUUAGAAGGAUGGGUCUGCAUUGGCUUUGAGGCGGCUUGUAGAGGUAGAAGCUCGUGAUCUUAGUGGAGAAGGAACACAGGGGAGUUCAUGAUGUCAAUAUACAGGGAGGUUGCUGAAAUUGUUCUAUACCUGGAGCACCAAGUCCCUCCCAAGCUUCAUUAAAUGCGGUUUCUGGAAGAAUGAUGACUGAUUUGGAUUCUUCAGUAACUGCAAUGAUCGAAAUAAAUAUGCAAUAUUUUUUGAACUUCAAGGAGCAAUAAAUGUAUGUGGACGGAUCUCUGCGUUUCCAAGACUUGAUGGAUUUCCCUUUUAAGUCUAAUGCCUUCUUUAUUGUUCUGCACAACCACACCAGAGGUCCUCUGCUUAAGAUUCUAUUCUCCAUACGGCAAGAUACAUAAGCAGGAUAAGAAGAAAAUGUGAUUCCGAUGAAGUGAGUUUGCAGGAAUUGGAGUAGGGUACAAGAAGGUAAGAAAGUAAAAGUCUUUUCCGAUAUAUACAGCCUCCAGAGUUUUUUGAUAUUUUUGUAUCCUUAGAUUCUACUAUACGAUCAAAAGUAAGGUCUCAUUUGUUUGCACUUACGGAAGGUCUUAAUCUUAUUCAUUCAGAUCUCAUUAAAUCUGUUUGCAAGGCCUGAAUCUUAAUCAUUAAGUGCAUUUGGUUUUCUUAUUUUACACCACUUAAUGGGUCUAAAUGAUUAAUGUCAUUAAGAAUCUUUUUAAGAAUUUGUACAAAGAUGACAGUUCACCGCUACACCACCUACUUUCACCCAUCACCCACAACCACCAUUUCAGCCUAACCGCCAUCAUCAUUCACCGCCAUUAGCUAUCAAUAUCACUCCACUUCUAAUUAUUAGCCACCACCACCUCCAUCCACUAUACUAUAUGAUAGUACCCACAACCACUAUUAUCAGUCGACACCAUCCGAAAUUGGCAUACACAAUCACCAUUGUUAAUAAUUACCACCAUCAAUGACGAUAUACAAAUUUUAAAAUAUUUUAUUGAUAUAAUAUUAGAUCAAUUUAGUAUUUUAUUUGAAUUGUAUUUAUUAUUUUUUGUACAUUCUAAUGUUGAAAAAAACAGUCUUAACUAUUUAACAUUAUGAUCUUAAUGCAAUAUCUUAAUAUUCAAAUGUGUAUUUAGAUUCAGAUCUCUAAAUGCUAAUGUACAUCUUAAUAUCCAGAUGUGCAUUCAGAUUCAGACAUUACCCUUAUAUAUAAGCCAAGCCAACAAGGUGAAGUACCAACACAGCUCUACAAUGUUGUACCAAUAGCAUUGAAAAUAGUACCACUAUAUUGAGCCCUAUUCACAGCUAAAUAAACAUGUGUCCUUCUACGUCCUGUUGUUUUCAAUUAGUUCGCUUUGGUUCUUCUGUCAGUUCUUUUUAUCUUUCCAGUCGUUUCUAUUUUUCUAUUUUUCAUUCUCCCCAUUCUCACUCUUGGUGGUGAAAGAGAAGAAGAGACUUAGAAAUAGAGGUGUUACAUUUUCGGAGAGGAAGAGAAAAUUGAUGGAAAUUUUGAGAAGAGUGAUUUAACUCCCGAGCUGCUGCAUCAAUUGGUGAUGAAAUUUUAUAUUUGACUACCGAAAUUGGAGUACUUGAAAUCGAGCUUCAUGUUGCAUCACGGGAUAAACAACUACUUCAAUCACAAACAUCUAGCUAAAACAGCUAUACAUAGAGGCGUUGACUCUUGCAACAUUCAGAAAAUACAUUGUCUUUGUCUGAAGUUGAGAGUCACGACAAAAACGAAAGUGUGCUUCCAAGUUCUGAUCCUUUGUUAGCUAAAUGAAAAUCAUAAGAAGUCAAAUUUUCAUUACAUGCUUCCGCGGCUACAAAAACAAUUGCUUACACCUCUUAUCUUUGAAUUAGAUCAACAUCAAGUAGAUGUGAUGUAAGCAGAAAAGUUUUUUCCACCACACUGAUUACUUCAAAUAGAGGUAAAAAAAGGAUUUGAAAUCAAUUAACAGAGUGGUAAUCUUUUGCCAAAGAAAGACUCUGCACUCCGCAACAAGGAAAAAAACAAACAAAGACAUGCUUUCAAGCUAUACAUUGGACAACAUCUCCAGAUUAUCCACGUCUCUCAUAGUGACUCCUACUCACCAGCAAGUUAUUCCCAUUGUGAAACAUUUAAGCAACUCCUUCCUGCUAACCAUGUCCAAAGCAUGUUGUCAGAUAGAUGCUUCCAAAUUCAACUACGAAAGUCAUACCGGAGGGACUCCUAUGUCACAAACAUAACCCUAUCAGUUGUCUUACACAGAAAAGGAAGUCAUCUUUCCACCAACAGUGGGAAAAGAAAGAGGGAAGGGGAACAACAUCUUAUUCUCUUCGUGAGAACUUCCGGAUAGUAGAAGCAUUCAGAACGGGCUCCGCAUUCAUUUCGUUGGCAGAAACGAUCCAUUCCAUUCGGGGCUUCGGGGAACCAAAAAAUUGGACUUGAGAAUCAAGGAUAGAUAGACAAGAGAUAGAUAAACGAUAUAUAUAUUUCUCACAAAAAAAUUGUGAGAUAAAGAGCAGAUGAUGAGAAAAUAAAAAAAGUCAAGCCUCGAAGCACAAGUGAGAUAGCGUUGGAACCAUAUGAUGUUCUACUCGAUUAUUCAAGCUUUGGAUUGAAAAUUGAAUCAUCCACACCAGUAAAAGGGCUAUAAAAGGUCGACUUCUUAGGAAGUAUCUUCCUUAUUUUUGUUACUUUUGGUGACUGUUAAAGGAAACUUUUUAGUUGUUACUUUUGAUGACUGCAAACAAAACUUUUUGGGAUUAUCAUCUGGUACAACUACACUCAGUAAGGAGAACCAUCACAUGGAACUAACAAAGAUGUUAUUUAGCGUUUUUGCUGCUUGAUUUAGCCCAGAUUGCUCCCAUAGAGGCAGACUCUCACUUGAGGCUCUAGCAUGUGUCGGACAUAUUGCUAAAGCAAUGGGACCAACCAUGGAGCCUCAUGUUCGUGGUCUCUUGGAUCCUAUGUUUUCUACUAGGUUUUCCGUAACACUGGUUGAUUCGUUAGAGUUACUAUCUGAAAGCAUUCCACCUUUGUUGCUGACCAUUCACAAUCGGUUGUUUGAAUGUAUCUCAGCAAUCCUUUCAAGAUCUCAUCAUCCAAUGUCAAGACAAUCAGUUGCUUUGAGUCGAGGGCAUCUUGCUACAAUUACCCCCCAAGUACCAGUACUGAGUGGUUCUGUGCUAGUUCAACUUACUUUGCAAACUCUUGCUCGUUUUAAUUUCAAGGGGCAUGAUCUUCUUGAGUUUGCAAGGGAGUCUGUUGUUAUAUAUUUAGAAGAUGAGAAUGGAGCUACACAGAAGGAUGUUGCGUUGUGUUGCUGCAAACUCAUAGCAAAUUCUUUUUUGGUGAUGUCUUCUACGCAAUUUAGUCCUUGUAUAAUCAAUCACGCAAAUGGAAAGCAACGUCGACUAGUUGAAAGAAGUAACUUGUUAUUGCGUGGAAUUGGGAGUCACAAAUGGCAAGGAUACCGAACUCAGUUGCAAAUUCUUUAGAGAUCAACCUCUCGUUACUCCUUGGAUCAUCAGACCCUGAUGAAAAUUACUUGUCCUUCAUGGUUAAAAAUGCUUUUUCGGUGUUCGAGAAUGCGGUAAUCUUAAAAUAUUCAGAGACAAAAGGCGCCUUGACUCACAUAAUCAGGACAUGUGCUACCAAUUACCAAAUACCACUAUGCUGCACAAUCAUGUGUUUCAAUUUUGCAUCUGGUUCAAAAAUAUGAUUUUGCAGUUUCCCAUUUGGCUGAUACAGUUGCUUUGGGUUGAAAAGAAGUAUGCUGAUGGUAGCAUGGGUUCUUCUCUUAUCAGAGAGAUAGGAAGGACAGCCCCCGAAAGAUUAUGUGAUGGAUACAAUAGGGGCCGAAAAGGUUGGGCGCUUUCUUGUAGAGUUUGCUGAUAGAUUGCGUAAGUUGGUCUCAACUAAUAUUGGCAUAUUAAUCCCACAUUUUGGAGUUGAAUCUUAUUAGAUGAGAAAUGUUCUUGUUGGGAUGUUGGGUAAGUUGGUCGUGAAGGCUUUUGAUGAUAGUGAAGUUAAAGUGAGUUCUAAAUCGAUUCGUCUCUGAACCACACAGGCCAUGUUGGAAAUCUUGUUUGUAGGGAUGUGUCAGCCUAUGCAAGGAGUCGAGUGCUUCAGGUGUGGGCUAAAUUAUGUGAAGAGUAUUCAGUUUCAUUUGGCACGUGUAAUAUGUGAGGUUGCAGAAGUAGCGGUUGGGAGGUCAGAGGAAAAGAGUGCAAUUGUCAGAAAAUCAACACUGAAUUUACUUAUUAUGAUGUUGUUGUUGUAACCACCGGUGCCGGAAAUAUCAAUGCUCUCAAUAGAGUUCUUGUCCACUUGUGCACCAGAGGCAAUCCUAAGGUUCUUUGAUUUCUUCUCUUUCAAGAAAAAAAAAUUGUUGGAAAUUGUGGAGUUGGAACAGUUCAGGGAAUCUUUAUGUUCUUUAGUCAUUUGUUGAAUUGGUGAGGAAGUGGAGUCAUACAUGAUUUUUCAUUUUGUUAGGAUACAAGACUGUUCAAGAUUUUAGUUCUUGGAUGGGGCUGCAUUGACUUUGAGGCGGCUUGUAGAUAAAGAAGCUUGUGAUCUUAGUGGAGAAGAUUUUGCUCGUUUUAUGGAUCAUCUAUAUGAACGCAUUACCACAUUUCUUGAUAGUAAUGAAGUUUCUGAAAAUCUAGGAGCGUUGAGGGCUAUUGACGAGCUAAUAGAUGUCAUCAUCAGCGAAAAUGCAUCAAAAGUGGCAAAAUUCUCCAAUUACACGCUCGUUACUUUGAAACAAAGCGUGAUCCUGAAAUCUCGAUCAUUGCUUGUAAAGUUCUUGGUCACCUAGCUACAUCUGGUGCAAUGACUGCAGAUUGAUCAAUAAUUGUUGCAGCCUGCAAGGAACAAGCUGUUAACAAUGAUAUCAUAUUCUUGAUCAAUAAUAAAAGAAUAAAUUACUUAAGUACACACCAUUAUUUAUCAUAAUUCUCAAUUUUUCCCUA